AAGGAGGGGGCUCCCUUGGGCAGGGAAACAGAUCAGUGUCACUGGAGGGGACAGCAGAGAGCAGGGAUUCCUGGGACUGAGGACUGGGCAGCAGCCAAGAUGAAAUUCUGAGUGUAAGCACUGGAGGCAGGUGGGGAAUCGUGAGACUGGAGGGUAAGGGAAGGCUGGGGGUAAAAAGGUAGGGGGCAGCUGCGAGAGGCUGGGCGUGGGCCAAGUUGGAAGGCGAGGAAGGAAUCGGGAGGACAGGGCCCAGCUGUGUUGCCAGAGGAUCUUGCUGGCUGUGUCUGGGCAGCCUCUCUGGGAAGUGCCCAGGGUUGAGUGGGGCUUGAAUGUGACAUUCUCCUUUGGGUCUUACAGGAACUAACUGAGGAGCUGCCUCAGGACUGUGGGCCCAGCUCUGUCCUCUCCUGCUCUAUGGACCGCAUGUGAAACCUCCCGUACCAGAACUCUCGCCCGGCUCCCCCAGCUUAGGUGCUGCUCAGACCCAGAGACGUUGCCUCCUCCAUGGCCAGGUUCUCCUCCACCUCCUGAACAGCCUGCGGUGAUGGGAUAUAACAAGUGGUGACGACGGAUGGGAUUCCGGUGUUGCUCCAGUAACAGAAGGAAGUAGAAGUCAAGGACAGUGAUGGACGGCUGCUGCUCUCUUAACAUUGGACGUCAGGGACGGACUUCGAUACUUGACACAGGAACGGGUG
This is a long non-coding RNA of Gopherus evgoodei (Goodes thornscrub tortoise), 695 nucleotides long. RefSeq lists it as uncharacterized. The transcript is spliced from 3 exons. NCBI's taxonomy places the organism in Eukaryota, Metazoa, Chordata, Testudines, Testudinidae. The record is from RefSeq and is a predicted model, not a curated record.